Molecule: long non-coding RNA, 2843 nt
Filed under: Salmo salar (Atlantic salmon)
Lineage: Eukaryota; Metazoa; Chordata; Actinopteri; Salmoniformes; Salmonidae
Description: lncRNA (ENSSSAG00000102358.1)
Source: RNAcentral
UUUUUUUCAUGGUGCAGAUUAAGGAAGAAAUGAAAGGGUUGGCCUGUGAACUACUGAUGAACUAUGAAGCAAACGCCUUUCACUGUUCCAGACGCACAGCUCACCAACGUUUCUGUGCUGUGACCCACCGAAGGCUUUCAGUUGCUUUAUAACAACUUGUGCAGUGGUAAUUUAGAACAUGAAUUUAAACAAUGAAAGAAAAUAAAAGCCUAAUAUUUUGGAGUAUAAAAUUUUUUUACUUUUGAAAGAAAUCAAAUAAAAAUUGCAUGAUUUGCUGAAAUAAAGGUAUAAAAAAAUAAUUACCCAUAAUUCCUUGUCACAUCAAUAUGAUUCUAAAUGCUUCUAAACUACGCAGUAGUAGUAGAAGAAAACAAUGUCAUAACCAAAACCCUUCAUUAUCUUCAUUAAAGUACCGUAGCUACAGUUAAACAGUAGUUCUCUUCACUUCUGUUUUGUUUCACAACCCACAAUUUAUUCACCAAAACAUUUUGACAGGGUUAUUAAAUAAUAUUAACCCAAUAAUGACUUUUUCUUUUGCGAUUCAUUGAAACAAGGCACAUCAGAGGUAGAACAUUCCUUCAGAAGCAUUUGUGCUGAAGGUAGUUCCUUAGAUAGCUAGCUACAGCCUGAGACCACAGCACCCCAGCAGAGAGGAUCCUCUGACAGCUAGCUACAGCCUGAGACCAGAGCACCCCAGCAGACAGGAACCUCUGACAGCUAGCUACAGCCUGAGACCAGAGCACCCCAGCAGACAGGAUCCUCUGACAGCUAGCUACAGCCUGAGACCACAGCACCCCAGCAGACAGGAUCCUUGGACAGCUAGCUACAGCCUGAGACCACAGCACCCCAGCAGACAGGAUCCUCUGACAGCUAGCUAAAGCCUGAGACCACAGCACCCCAGCAGACAGGAUCCUCUGACAGCUAGCUACAGCCUGAGACCACAGCACCCCAGCAGACAGGAUCCUGUGACCACAGCACCCCAGCAGACAGGAUCCUCUGACAGCUAGCAACAGCCUGAGACCACAGCACCCCAGCAGACAGGAUCCUCUGACAGCUAGCUACAGCCUGAGACCACAGCACCCCAGCAGACAGGAUCCUCUGACAGCUAGCUACAGCCUGAGACCAGAGCACCCCAGCAGACAGGAUCCUCUGACAGCUAGCUACAGCCUGAGACCAGAGCACCCCAGCAGACAGGAUCCUCUGACAGCUAGCUACAGCCUGAGACCAGAGCACCCCAGCAGACAGGAACCUCUGACAGCUAGCUACAGUCUGAGACCACAGCACCCCAGCAGACAGGAUCCUUGGACAGCUAGCUACAGCCUGAGACCAGAACACCCCAGCAGACAGGAUCCUCUGACAGUUAGCUACAGUCUGAGACCAGAGCACCCCAGCAGACAGGCUCCUUAGACAGCUAGCUACAGCCUGAGACCAGAGCACUCCAGCAGACAGGAACCUCUGACAGCUAGCUACAGUCUGAGACCAGAGCACCCCAGCAGACAGGAUCCUCUGACAGCUAGCUACAGCCUGAGACCAGAGCACCCCAGCAGACAGGAACUUCUGACAGCUAGCUACAGUCUGAGACCACAGCACCCCAGCAGACAGGUUCCUUGGACAGCUAGCUACAGCCUGAGACCAGAACACCCCAGCAGACAGGAUCCUCUGACAGCUAGCUACAGUCUAAGACCAGAGCACCCCAGCAGACAGGCUCCUUAGACAGCUAGCUACUGCCUGAGACCAGAGCACCCCAGCAGACAGGCUCCUUAGACAGCUAGCUACAGUCUGAGACCAGAGCACUCCGGCAGGCAGGCAGGCAGGCAGGCAGGCAGGCAGGCAGGCAGGCAGGCAGACAGACAGACAGACAGACAGACAGACAGACAGACAGACAGACAGACAGACAGACAGACAGACAGACAGACAGACAGACAGACAGACAGACAGAGGUUGGGUAGCAGGGACAGGCAGAGCCUCUGUGCAAUAUCCACACUGGGGUUCCUGGUCUUUAAUCUAGCAGUACUGGGACUAGUGGUUCUGAUUGGGUCUGGUUCCUCUCUGGACACAAAAGUCAGGACCAGGAGGGUUCUGGAGGACGAACACUAGGCAGGGUCCACCAAUGCCUGGAUCUGAGACGCCUCCCCCUCACCACCUAAUAGAGACAGAAUAGGGUGACAGGGUAGAUUUGUAGAGAUGUUGCCAUAAACAACUGCAUCACUUUUCAUUUGUGGCUUGACACAUACAGACACAUACAGUAAUACAAAAUGAGAUUGGAAUUCAGCAUAUCAUGAUUACAUCAUGUGUCACAAAUCUAAAGUGAGCACCUACUAAAUGACCAAAACUCCUGCAGGAAAGAGGCAAUGAGGCUCUAGGGUUGCAGAUGCAGGCGAUAUUAUGGAAUGGCGCCUUGGUCUCACCUUUCACUGGCUCUGGUCCUGGAAGGUAGCCUGGUGGAACCAGCCUGAUGUUGCGAUAGCUCAUAUUCUGUGAGCGCAGGAGUCAGUUUGCUUGACAAGAUUAUCUGGCUGGCAACAAGGGCCUAGGAAUAGGAGCAAGUAUGAGGAAUGUGUUGGAGUCUUGGUGUUACCUCUUCCUGUCUCUGCAUUGGCCACAUAGAUGAACUCAUCCACCUCCUGACAUACUUCCUGGACCUGAGGGGCGGGACUGAAAUAUGGCUGUCCUGAUUGGUCCGUUCUUUCCAGGAUGAAGAGGUUUCUGCUGAGACUCUGCUGCUUCACACUGGCUCUCUUCCUCUCCGCCCUACACACACAACCACAACAGGUUAUUAUAGACAUAUACACACACGUAACCAUAUGAACGCAAGGUGUACAUUACCUCAAAUGGUAACAGAC